GUCGAACGGACUCUUCGGAGUUAGUGGCGGACGGGUGAGUAACGCGUGAGAAUCUACCCUUAGGUUGGGGACAACAGUUGGAAACGACUGCUAAUACCCAAUGUGCCGAGAGGUGAAAGGUUUACUGCCUGAGGAUGAGCUCGCGUCUGAUUAGCUAGUUGGUGGGGUAAGAGCGUACCAAGGCGACGAUCAGUAGCUGGUCUGAGAGGAUGAUCAGCCACACUGGGACUGAGACACGGCCCAGACUCCUACGGGAGGCAGCAGUGGGGAAUUUUCCGCAAUGGGCGAAAGCCUGACGGAGCAAGACCGCGUGCGGGAGGACGGCCUGUGGGUUGUAAACCGCUUUUGAUAGGGAAGAAGAUCUGACGGUACCUAUCGAAUCAGCAUCGGCUAACUCCGUGCCAGCAGCCGCGGUAAUACGGAGGAUGCAAGCGUUAUCCGGAAUUAUUGGGCGUAAAGCGUCCGUAGGUGGUUGAGUAAGUCUGCUGUUAAAGCGUGGAGCUUAACUCCAUACCGGCAGUGGAAACUACUG
Molecule: ribosomal RNA, 532 nt
Filed under: uncultured bacterium
Lineage: Bacteria
Description: partial 16S ribosomal RNA
Rfam family: Bacterial small subunit ribosomal RNA
Source: RNAcentral